CCUACGGGGGGCAGCAGUGAGGAAUAUUGCACAAUGGGGGAAACCCUGAUGCAGCGACGCCGCGUGUGGGAAGACGGUCUUCUGGAUUGUAAACCACUGUCCCCAGGGACGAAAAUGACGGUACCUGGGGAGGAAGCUCCGGCUAACUACGUGCCAGCAGCCGCGGUAAUACGUAGGGAGCAAGCGUUGUCCGGAAUUACUGGGUGUAAAGGGAGCGUAGGCGGGGAUGCAAGUUGGGUGUCAAAACUACCGGCUCAACCGAUAGUCGCACUCAAAACUGCAGCUCUUGAGUGAAGUAGAGGCAGGCGGAAUGCCUAGUGUAGCGGUGAAAUGCGUAGAUAUUAGGAGGAACACCAGUGGCGAAGGCGGCCUGCUGGGCUUUUACUGACGCUGAGGCUCGAAAGUGUGGGGAGCAAACAGGAUUAGAUACCCGUGUAGUC
This 440-nucleotide ribosomal RNA is filed under the name uncultured bacterium. RNAcentral describes it as "partial 16S ribosomal RNA". It matches the Rfam family "Bacterial small subunit ribosomal RNA", at positions 338 to 795 of the family's 1533-position model. The record is from RNAcentral.